UACGAAGGGUGCAAACGUUGCUCGGAAUUACUGGGCGUAAAGCGCACGUAGGCGGAUCGAUCAGUCAGGGGUGAAAUCCCAGGGCUCAACCCUGGAACUGCCUUUGAUACUGUCGAUCUGGAGUAUGGAAGAGGUGAGUGGAAUUCCGAGUGUAGAGGUGAAAUUCGUAGAUAUUCGGAGGAACACCAGUGGCGAAGGCGGCUCACUGGUCCAUUACUGACGCUGAGGUGCGAAAGCGCGGGGAGCAAACAGG
This 253-nucleotide ribosomal RNA is filed under the name uncultured bacterium. RNAcentral describes it as "partial 16S ribosomal RNA". It matches the Rfam family "Bacterial small subunit ribosomal RNA", at positions 524 to 776 of the family's 1533-position model. The record is from RNAcentral.